GCUCCGGUGGCCAAGUGGUUAGCGCGUCCGCCUCUGAUGCGAGAGGUAGUGGGUUCGAUCCCCGGUCGAAUCA
Molecule: non-coding RNA, 73 nt
Organism: Potamilus streckersoni
Lineage: Eukaryota; Metazoa; Mollusca; Bivalvia; Unionida; Unionidae
Source: the annotation of a GenBank genome assembly